GAUGAACGCUGGCGGCGUGCCUAAUACAUGCAAGUCGAGCGAACAGAUGAGGAGCUUGCUCCUCUGACGUUAGCGGCGGACGGGUGAGUAACACGUGGAUAACCUACCUAUAAGACUGGGAUAACUUCGGGAAACCGGAGCUAAUACCGGAUAAUAUAUUGAACCGCAUGGUUCAAUAGUGAAAGACGGUUUUGCUGUCACUUAUAGAUGGAUCCGCGCCGCAUUAGCUAGUUGGUAAGGUAACGGCUUACCAAGGCAACGAUGCGUAGCCGACCUGAGAGGGUGAUCGGCCACACUGGAACUGAGACACGGUCCAGACUCCUACGGGAGGCAGCAGUAGGGAAUCUUCCGCAAUGGGCGAAAGCCUGACGGAGCAACGCCGCGUGAGUGAUGAAGGUCUUCGGAUCGUAAAACUCUGUUAUUAGGGAAGAACAAAUGUGUAAGUAACUAUGCACGACUUGACGGUACCUAAUCAGAAAGCCACGGCUAACUACGUG
Molecule: ribosomal RNA, 497 nt
Filed under: uncultured bacterium
Lineage: Bacteria
Description: partial 16S ribosomal RNA
Rfam family: Bacterial small subunit ribosomal RNA
Source: RNAcentral